UGAAUCCUAUCGCAAUGCCUGCUCAUUGCUCUUUAAUCAUUAUUAUGCCACUUCAUAACUCCUAUGCCACUUCAUAACUCCCUUCAGUAAAUAAAUUAUUAGUAUUAGAAAUGUGAACUAAUUAUUUUAGUAAUGCUGAUCAUGACUUAUAAGAAAAAACAAUAUCAAGUGUGUAUGCACGUAAUCGAGUGCAAUUUCUUUAUUGAAUGUUAGUAGCAAUACCAUUGAUGCGUAUGGCCUCUAUAUAAGAAGCCUGGUGGCCCUAUACCAUUUGGAAACGAAGCUUUCAAGCUUCUCAACAAUGGCGACCAUCCCUUCUCACAACGUUCUCACGAAGAACUAUCACUCUUCUCCGUCUUUCAA
Molecule: long non-coding RNA, 363 nt
Filed under: Brassica rapa (field mustard)
Lineage: Eukaryota; Viridiplantae; Streptophyta; Magnoliopsida; Brassicales; Brassicaceae
Description: long non-coding RNA (BRAP_LNC003030)
Source: RNAcentral